This 107-nucleotide small nuclear RNA is filed under the name Castor canadensis (American beaver). Lineage: Eukaryota; Metazoa; Chordata; Mammalia; Rodentia; Castoridae. The record is from RNAcentral.
GCGCUCGCUUCAGUAGCACAUACACUAAAACUGGAGUGGUACAGGGAAGAUUAGCAUGGCCCCUGCACAAGGAUGGCAUGCAAAUUUGUGAAGUGUUCCAUAUUUUA